GGCGGCGGCGAGUCUCUGCCCGGCAGGAUCCGCUCUGCCUCCGGCCACGGCCUUGGCCUCGGCGCCAACCACAGGGGAACGCGGGCUGUGUCGACGCCCACCUCCGGCUCGGUUUACCGACCUGUGCAAUGGGCCGAAGUUCUUCGCCGGCGGACUCAGAAGCGGGCGUUUCUUCAGCACACACAGUCAAGAGCCUGCUGUGUGCGCGGAACUGGAGUGGAAGGAUCCCUGGGCUACGUGUGGGAGACGGACUCAGAGACUGUGCAGCGGCAGGAGACCAGAGGGAGGUGACUGCAGUUGUCCAGGACAGGAAGAAUGCGGGACUCAGCACAUCGUAGGUGUCCUGGAGACGUGGGAACUGCUGGACACGUGGGACCUGCUGGACGCAUGGGGAAAAAUGAACUUUUGAGGGACACUUUCUUCGCUUGGGAAGUGAAUGCUUUCCAUCUACUUUACACGAACAUAGACGCUCUCCACCACCUGAUGAGGCCUACUGUGUGUUGGCAUUCUGCUGAGUGUGGGGGACACAGGCUUGACCCUCCCGGUCUCCUGAAACACUGCACAGUGGGGAAGGCAGAUAAUGAUCAGGUUGUCUGAUCAUCAAGUACAAAUACAUCAUCACAAGCAUUGAUCUGUGCUAAGAAGAAAAGAUCCCUGGGACUAUAAGCGUGUGCAUGGACAUCUGGUGAUGGAGACAGCCUGUGAGGAUGUACUCCCAAAUGCCCAAGGAGUAGCACGAUGUCAGAUGAGGAAACUGAGGCUCAGUUGGUGAAGCCACUGGCCAGAGGCCACACAGCUGGAUUUAACCCAGGAGUCCUUAUAAGAUGGAGGCAGAAGGAGAUUUGACUACGGAAAAGGAGAAGGCAGAGAGAAUGACAGAAACAGACUGAAAGAAUGCACGUCGAAGAUGGAGGAAGGGGCCACAAGCCUGGGAAUGCAGGUGAUCACUAGGAGUUGAAAACGGCAAGGAAACAGCUUCUCCUCGGGAGUCUCCAGCAAGAACCAGCCCUGCCAGCACCCUGACUUUUGCCUGGAGACUGAUUUCAGGCUUCUGACCUCCAGAACCGUAAGUAAAUAAAUUCACGUUGUUUUAAGCCAAUAAGUUUGUG
This is a long non-coding RNA of Camelus dromedarius (Arabian camel), 1109 nucleotides long. RefSeq lists it as uncharacterized. The transcript has 6 exons. The record is from RefSeq and is a predicted model, not a curated record. Lineage: Eukaryota; Metazoa; Chordata; Mammalia; Artiodactyla; Camelidae.